CUGAGACACGGCCCAGACUCCUACGGGAGGCAGCAGUGGGGAAUUUUGGACAAUGGGCGCAAGCCUGAUCCAGCUAUUCCGCGUGUGGGAUGAAGGCCCUCGGGUUGUAAACCACUUUUGUAGAGAACGAAAAGACAUCUUCGAAUAAAGGAUGUUGCUGACGGUACUCUAAGAAUAAGCACCGGCUAACUACGUGCCAGCAGCCGCGGUAAUACGUAGGGUGCGAGCGUUAAUCGGAAUUACUGGGCGUAAAGGGUGCGCAGGCGGUUGAGUAAGACAGAUGUGAAAUCCCCGAGCUUAACUCGGGAAUGGCAUAUGUGACUGCUCGACUAGAGUGUGUCAGAGGGAGGUGGAAUUCCACGUGUAGCAGUGAAAUGCGUAGAUAUGUGGAAGAACACCGAUGGCGAAGGCAGCCUCCUGGGACAUAACUGACGCUCAGGCACGAAAGCGUGGGGAGCAAACAGGAUUAGAUACCCUGGUAGUCCACGCCCUAAACGAUGUUAACUAGUUGUUGGGAUGUAACAAUCUCAGUAACGCAGCCAACGCGAGAAGUUAACCGCCUGGGAAGUACGGUCGCAAGACUACAA
This 587-nucleotide ribosomal RNA is filed under the name uncultured bacterium. Its description in RNAcentral is "bacterial SSU rRNA". It matches the Rfam family "Bacterial small subunit ribosomal RNA", at positions 319 to 899 of the family's 1533-position model. The record is from RNAcentral.